UCGACUUGGAGGUUGUGCCCUNGAGGCGUGGCUUCCGGAGCUAACGCGUUAAGUCGACCGCCUGGGGAGUACGGCCGCAAGGUUAAAACUCAAAUGAAUUGACGGGGGCCCGCACAAGCGGUGGAGCAUGUGGUUUAAUUCGAUGCAACGCGAAGAACCUUACCUACUCUUGACAUCCACGGAAUUUGGCAGAGAUGCCUUAGUGCCUUCGGGAACCGUGAGACAGGUGCUGCAUGGCUGUCGUCAGCUCGUGUUGUGAAAUGUUGGGUUAAGUCCCGCAACGAGCGCAACCCUUAUCCUUUGUUGCCAGCACUUCGGGUGGGAACUCAAAGGAGACUGCCGGUGAUAAACCGGAGGAAGGUGGGGAUGACGUCAAGUCAUCAUGGCCCUUACGAGUAGGGCUACACACGUGCUACAAUGGCGUAUACAAAGAGAAGCAAACUCGCGAGAGCCAGCGGACCUCAUAAAGUACGUCGUAGUCCGGAUUGGAGUCUGCAACUCGACUCCAUGAAGUCGGAAUCGCUAGUAAUCGUAGAUCAGAAUGCUACGGUGAAUACGUUCCCGGGCCUUGUACACACCGCCCGUCACACCAUGGGAGUGGGUUGCAAAAGAAGUAGGUAGCUUAACCUUCGGGAGGGCGCUUACCACUUUGUGAUUCAUGACUGGGGUG
This 670-nucleotide ribosomal RNA is filed under the name uncultured prokaryote. RNAcentral describes it as "bacterial SSU rRNA". It matches the Rfam family "Bacterial small subunit ribosomal RNA", at positions 812 to 1482 of the family's 1533-position model. The record is from RNAcentral.